RNAcentral lists this ribosomal RNA (284 nucleotides) under uncultured bacterium. RNAcentral describes it as "partial 16S ribosomal RNA". It matches the Rfam family "Bacterial small subunit ribosomal RNA", at positions 335 to 608 of the family's 1533-position model. The record is from RNAcentral.
ACUCCUACGGGAGGCAGCAGUGGGAAUAUUGCACAAUGGGCGCAAGCCUGAUGCAGCCAUGCCGCGUGUGUGAAGAAGGCCUUCGGGUUGUAAAGCACUUUCAGUUGUGAGGAAAGGUUAGUCCUAAUAUCGGGUCUUAGCUUGUGACGUUUAGCAACAGAAGAAGCACCGGCUAACUCCGUGCCAGCAGCCGCGGUAAUACGGAGGGUGCGAGCGUUAAUCGGAAUUACUGGGCGUAAAGCGCGUGUAGGUGGCUUGUUAAGCCAGAUGUGAAAGCCCGGCUC